GACGAACGCUGGCGGCGUGCUUAACACAUGCAAGUCGAGCGGUAAGGCCUCUUCGGGGGUACACGAGCGGCUAACGGGUGAGUAACACGUGGGUGACCUGCCCUCACCUCUGGGAUAAGCCUGUGCAACUGGGUCUAAUACCGGAUAUGACCUUUCCUCGCAUGGGGUUUGGUGGAAAGGUGUUUCGGCCGGGGAUGGGUCCGCGGCCAGUCUGCUGGUUGGUGGGUGGAUGACCUACCUAGGCGACGACUGGUGGCCUGCCUGAGUGAGCGGCCGGCCACACUGUGAGAGAGAGACGGCACAGACUCCGGCGGGAGGCAGCAGUGGUGAAGAUUGCGCGGCGGGCGGAAGACUGACGCACCGACGCCGCGGGAGGGAUGACGUCGUGCGGGUAGUAGACCUCUCUCGAGCCCGACGAAGUGGGACGGUAGGGGUAGAAGAAGCACCGGCCAACUACGUG
RNAcentral lists this ribosomal RNA (460 nucleotides) under uncultured bacterium. RNAcentral's name for it is "partial 16S ribosomal RNA". It matches the Rfam family "Bacterial small subunit ribosomal RNA", at positions 28 to 507 of the family's 1533-position model. The record is from RNAcentral.